GGCGGUUGGCCGCACUGUCCUCUGCACGGGGGACGCAGGCCAGCUGCCAGGCCUCGACGACAAUGCCCCCCCUCUGCCCUUGGGAAGGCUUUGGGGCCGGGCAGACCCGCCGCCCGCAGCCACUCCGCCUCUGCCCUCUCUGCCCCACAGCCCGGCCAUCGCUGCCCGCCUUGGCGGGCUCCUGUCGGGAUAGGGUAGGGCCACCGCCGGUCUGGUUAUGGGCCGCCCUCUGGGCACCGAGCAGCCCCCCGAGCCCUGACCGACCACGAGGACCCGGGAGGAUCGAUGCCUCUGGAGCCUCCAGCGAACUCAGUGGAAACCAUGGCUUCUUUGACUGGGGCUAGGCUGCCCUCCUUUCUCUACAUCUCCUUGCAGAGACAGAAUGGCCCCGGGCAGCGUGUAAUCAGGGAGGUGAACACCACCACCAGGGCCUGUGCUCUUUGGGGCCUGGCUGAAGACAGCGACUACACAGUGCAGGUCAGGAGCAUCGGCCUCUGGGAAGAGAGGCCCCCAGGGCCCCGUGUGCACUUCCAAACUCUCAAGGUUUCUGACAGGCUGCCCUCCAAAAGCUCCAGCCCAUGACUCACUGCGCUUACCCAGGUCCUGUGUGCACCUUCGAGAACCCACUAGGUGACCUUAUGACGUAUGUCGCCUGUAUGUCAACCACUAGCGCCGCCAAUGCAGGCCUGUUGUCUGCAUCAUGCAGUUGAAGCACCCGAGAACCCUGUUGAGCCCUCAGGUGAGGAAUCCCAUGCCUCUCCCAUUCCCGACCACCAGGCAUUACAAAACAAAACAAAACAAAAACAGGAACAGAAGUUGACACUUUUGAGCUUCUACUCCUGGAGAAGACUGUAAAAGCUCGCUCUGCAGUCGAUGUGCAUCGCUGACUGACGGCUAAAUGCUGUCAUUGCAUCGCAUACAUCAGUUGAGUGCCAGGCCCAACUUAGGCUCUACGGGAUCAAAUCUACCUGCAUUACGUCAAGACUUUUUCUGGAGGGAAAGGCGCAUAUAUAGAUCACGAUCACAGCUCUACACAGGAUGAAAUAAACGCUUUAGAUAUAAGCCCUUAAAAAGGUAGAGCGGAAGCUGAACUCUCUUUUGGAUUGUGAAAGUGUGUUUCGGAUGCAGAAGAGGCUGGGCACUGGGAGAGGAGCCCAGAAACAUAAACGACUGGGUUUGGGAGUGAAGAGGACAGAAUUCGUGUCUUGGCUUAGCUCCAACACUGACUUGACCAAAUGGUAUCUCUGGCUUUAACCCUCACCAUAUGCAGUCUUUCCAACACUAGCUUCUUCAUCUGGUAAAGAAAAGCCACAGUGAGAGCAACUGUAAGCGACUUAGGAGAAUGUUAAGUAAAGCUCUACACAGAA
Long non-coding RNA from Grammomys surdaster, 1367 nucleotides. RefSeq lists it as uncharacterized. The transcript has 3 exons. The record is from RefSeq and is a predicted model, not a curated record. Lineage: Eukaryota; Metazoa; Chordata; Mammalia; Rodentia; Muridae.